UACGUAGGGGCCAAGCGUUGUCCGGAAUUACUGGGCGUAAAGGGCGUGUAGGCGGUCUGGUAAGUCAGGUGUUAAAUCCACGGGCUCAACCCGUGGCUGCAUUUGAUACUGCCAAACUAGAGAGUGCUAGAGGAAAGCGGAACUUCCGGUGUAGCGGUGAAAUGCGUAGAUAUCGGAAGGAACACCAGUGGCGAAGGCGGCUUUCUGGGGCACUUCUGACGCUGAGACGCGAAAGCCAGGGGAGCAAACGGG
RNAcentral lists this ribosomal RNA (252 nucleotides) under uncultured bacterium. RNAcentral describes it as "partial 16S ribosomal RNA". It matches the Rfam family "Bacterial small subunit ribosomal RNA", at positions 524 to 776 of the family's 1533-position model. The record is from RNAcentral.